This 1342-nucleotide ribosomal RNA is filed under the name metagenome. Its description in RNAcentral is "bacterial SSU rRNA". It matches the Rfam family "Bacterial small subunit ribosomal RNA", at positions 162 to 1498 of the family's 1533-position model. The record is from RNAcentral.
GCUAAUACCGCAUAUUCUGUGAGCAGGAAAGCAGGGGAUCGCAAGACCUUGCGCUGAUUGAGCGGCCGAUAUCAGAUUAGCUAGUUGGUGAGGUAAAGGCUCACCAAGGCGACGAUCUGUAGCGGGUCUGAGAGGAUGAUCCGCCACACUGGAACUGAGACACGGUCCAGACUCCUACGGGAGGCAGCAGUGGGGAAUUUUGGACAAUGGGGGUAACCCUGAUCCAGCCAUGCCGCGAGAGUGAAGAAGGCCUUCGGGUUGUAAAGCUCUUUCGGCCGGGAAGAAAUCGUAUGGGUUAAUACCCUGUGCGGAUGACGGUACCGGCAUAAGAAGCACCGGCUAACUACGUGCCAGCAGCCGCGGUAAUACGUAGGGUGCGAGCGUUAAUCGGAAUUACUGGGCGUAAAGCGUGCGCAGGCGGUUUUGUAAGACAGGCGUGAAAUCCCCGGGCUCGACCUGGGAACUGCGCUUGUGACUGCAAGGCUAGAGUACGGCAGAGGGGGGUGGAAUUCCACGUGUAGCAGUGAAAUGCGUAGAGAUGUGGAGGAACACCAAUGGCGAAGGCAGCCCCCUGGGUCGAUACUGACGCUCAUGCACGAAAGCGUGGGUAGCAAACAGGAUUAGAUACCCUGGUAGUCCACGCCCUAAACGAUGUCAACUAGGUGUUGGGUGGGUAAAACCAUUUAGUACCGGAGCUAACGCGUGAAGUUGACCGCCUGGGGAGUACGGCCGCAAGGUUAAAACUCAAAGGAAUUGACGGGGACCCGCACAAGCGGUGGAUGAUGUGGAUUAAUUCGAUGCAACGCGAAAAACCUUACCUACCCUUGACAUGUCCAGGAGCCUGAAGAGAUUUGGGUGUGCCCGAAAGGGAACUGGAACACAGGUGCUGCAUGGCUGUCGUCAGCUCGUGUCGUGAGAUGUUGGGUUAAGUCCCGCAACGAGCGCAACCCUUGUCGUUAAUUGCCAUCAUUUAGUUGGGCACUUUAACGAGACUGCCGGUGACAAACCGGAGGAAGGUGGGGAUGACGUCAAGUCCUCAUGGCCCUUAUGGGUAGGGCUUCACACGUCAUACAAUGGUCGGUACAAAGGGUCGCCAACCCGCGAGGGGGAGCCAAUCCCAGAAAGCCGAUCGUAGUCCGGAUCGUAGGCUGCAACUCGCCUGCGUGAAGUCGGAAUCGCUAGUAAUCGUGGAUCAGCAUGUCACGGUGAAUACGUUCCCGGGUCUUGUACACACCGCCCGUCACUCCAUGGGAGCGGGUUCCGCCAGAAGUAGGUAGCCUAACCGCAAGGGGGGCGCUUACCACGGCGGGGUUCGUGACUGGGGUGAAGUCGAAACAAGGUA